Molecule: long non-coding RNA, 538 nt
Filed under: Salarias fasciatus (jewelled blenny)
Lineage: Eukaryota; Metazoa; Chordata; Actinopteri; Blenniiformes; Blenniidae
Description: lncRNA (ENSSFAG00005020914.1)
Source: RNAcentral
AACUGUCAUGUCUUCAGGCUUUUAGAGAAGUGUUUACUGUGAUAUCAACAGAGACAUUUUGUGUAUUGAUUAGAAUUUUGUAUUUUCUUCCAGAGUAAGUCAGUGUCAUCAACAGACAGCCAGCCGGCUGAGGAGCGCCAGGGCCCAUCAGGAGGUUAUGCUUCCUCGCAGGGAGGAGCUGAACCCAAGAGGAGGCGCUGUGACGACAAAGAGCCACUUCCACCACACUCCUAUGACAGUGAUGGAGACAAGAGUGAAGAUAACCUUGUAGUGGAUGUCUCCAAUGAGGAGCCUAACUCUCCUGCUGGCAGCCCUCCUCAUUCACCACAUGGGAACGGGUUAGACCGGGCCCCCACCCUGAGGAAAGAACUUCCUGGCUCCUCGAGUGCGGGCGAGGCCCCCUCCACCCCAAACCCCCGCAGUCCCACCCCAGGGAAGGCCAAGGAUUCUGCUCAGGUAAGACAGACACAGCUACUCAGAAAGAAGGUGCACUCUGCCAUCUGAGAGAAAUGUUCUUCUCUAAAUCACUGUAAUUUAU